GUUUUUUGAGAAUAAAUUCUGCUGUUUUCUGCUGUAAUAAGAAAUAAGCAUGUGCUGCUGUCUUCAAGACUGUCACCAAGCCAGAAAUCCUCUCCUCAUAGCUUCUCCACUUUCAACCUGAUGUACUGGGAUGGAAAAACUUGUACAAGUGCCAAUUGCAGAAGCUGCUGAAUGUCUGUCAGGCUGGGACAGAGUCAGGAAGAAGAGAGGACACAUAGAGACACAGAGAGAAGAAUCCUUGUGAAGAUGGAGGCAGAGAUUGGGAUGUGUUGCUACAAACCAAGAAUUGCCAACAACCACCGGAAGCCAGGAGUGAGGCAUGGACCAAUUUCUUCCUCAGAUCCUGCAGAAGGAACCAACCCUGCUGACACCUUGGUUAGGACUUCUGCCCUCCUGGCCUAUGACAGAAUACAUUUCUGUCCCAGUUUUUGGUAAUUUGUUACAGUAACCCUAGAAAACUAAUACAGACAUGUUAAGUAGUUUGUCCAAAAUCAUACUGUUAGUAAAGAUCACAUUUUUGUUGAAGCCAUGGCUUAAAACAAGGACUGUCUGAUUCCAGAGCCACAAUGUUUAACAGAUACACUCUCUUCUUUCUUUAUAGUUCAAGAUCAAGACAUUCCCCCAUGACCCAGAAAUUUCCCCCUUUAUUGUAUCUUAAGGAAGCAUUGAACAUCCUUCUUAGCUCUAGGAGCCUGGGGUUUGGUGCUGGAACAUUUCAUGCCCACUCUAUGUGAGUUACACCAAUUCCUCUGGUUUAGAGCAUAGGUAAAGGUGGAAAGGGAGAUGUGGAUACAGAUACAGAUAGAUAUAAAUAAAAUUCAGUGUGAAGGAGGGCUUUCUGUCCUGUUUACCUUGUUUCCUAGGUACAUGGUGUAGUAUUCUUUUGCAUCUAACAAAAGUUCAACAGUGUCUGUUAAUAAGCUAGAAAAUAGUGCCUAUCUUUUCUUGAGGGCCUUGUAAUCGUAUUUAAAAGAUUAAGUAAAUCUCUAAUCCCGUCUGUGCACCUAGUUAAAUAAAAUGAGGACAGUUUGGAAAUUAAUUUUUUUUAAUGUAGCAAUUAGCAGCAUGGACUUUGGAAUCACUGGUCUGGGUUCAAAUCCCAUUCCCACCACUUAUUAGCUAUGUGUUAUUGGGCAAGUUGAUUUAUCCCUCCAAGCCUCCUUGUCUGUAUUUUCAGGAUCAUGGUAAUAAUAACUAUUGCAUAGGAUUUUGUUAGUAUUAAAUGAGUUAAUGAAUACAAAUACUUAGCACAGUAGCUGGCGCAUACAAAGUGUUCAAGAUACGGUGGUUCUGAGAGUUUUAGAUGUACA
Molecule: non-coding RNA, 1310 nt
Organism: Manis javanica (Malayan pangolin)
Lineage: Eukaryota; Metazoa; Chordata; Mammalia; Pholidota; Manidae
Source: RefSeq, a predicted model, not a curated record